Molecule: ribosomal RNA, 496 nt
Filed under: uncultured bacterium
Lineage: Bacteria
Description: partial 16S ribosomal RNA
Rfam family: Bacterial small subunit ribosomal RNA
Source: RNAcentral
GACGAACGCUGGCGGCGUGCCUAAUAUAUGCAAGUUGAGCGAUGAAGAUUGGUGCUUGCACCAAUUUGAAGAGCAGCGCACGGGUGAGUAACGCGUGGGGAAUCUGCCUUUGAGCGGGGGACAACAUUUGGAAACGAAUGCUAAUACCGCAUAACAACUUUAAACAUAAGUUUUAAGUUUGAAAGAUGCAAUUGCAUCACUCAAAGAUGAUCCCGCGUUGUAUUAGCUAGUUGGUGAGGUAAAGGCUCACCAAGGCGAUGAUACAUAGCCGACCUGAGAGGGUGAUCGGCCACAUUGGGACUGAGACACGGCCCAAACUCCUACGGGAGGCAGCAGUAGGGAAUCUUCGGCAAUGGACGAAAGUCUGGCCGAGCAACGCCGCGUGAGUGAAGAAGGUUUUCGGAUCGUAAAACUCUGUUGGUAGAGAAGAACGUUGGUGAGAGUGGAAAGCUCAUCAAGUGACGGUAACUACCCAGAAAGGGACGGCUAACUACGU